This is a long non-coding RNA of Lolium rigidum, 1183 nucleotides long. RefSeq lists it as uncharacterized. The transcript is spliced from 4 exons. NCBI's taxonomy places the organism in Eukaryota, Viridiplantae, Streptophyta, Magnoliopsida, Poales, Poaceae. The record is from RefSeq and is a predicted model, not a curated record.
GCUCGGGCGAGAUUUAAUCCUGGUUCAACUGCAACCACGCAUUCGGUUACGCUCGACCGGGAACUCAUCCCGCCCAAACCCCUCUGAACCCACUCAUUCCACGGUGGAUCCAAUCAUCGUCUCCCAACCUGUGGAAGAAAUCCCGAGCUGAGCGACAGAAACUCGCGGCGGCGCGACUAGGAGGCGACCUUGGCGUCCCGGUGGCAGCAGUGACGGGUCCUCCGCAUCUCCAUCGUCCCUCGCCCACGACGGAAUCCUGCCGCUGCGUCUGUGCCCAAGCAAGAAACGGAGAGUACGAGUUGCUGCCAAGCUGGGAUCCUUUGCCUGACCCUUGGAACCUUGGAUCUCAACCUAGUGAAGGUUAUACUACUGUCUCGCACAAGGAGGCCCUAGAUGCAGAUUUCUCAUGUGUUUGUCGUCAAUAACUUCUAAGCUAUUGUUGAAAUCCUAUUGUUUCAUUGGAUGAGCUUUGUUUUAUUUAAUGCCUGGAGUUGUUGACUGUUACUCAAAUAGCAGAAAUAUUUUGCCCCAAAGACUCCUUGUUACUUUAUGCAGAAACUAUGCAAGCCUUGUAAUUUAUUGGUGUUAUUCUGAUAAUAUUAUUGUAUUUAUUCCUAAUAUUUUAUUAAUAUCAGUAGUAUUUUCGAGAUGAUUAUCAUCCAUCUUUUUAAUGUUAGUUCGCCGAAUAUUCUAUUCUGGCCUUGUUGUUGUUGUUGUUGUUGUUGUUGUUGUUGUUGUUGUUGUUGUGCAGCAAUUUCUAAAUCCAGCAACCUUGUUUUGCUGCUACAUAACCGAACAGACAGAAAACAUCAGCCUUGUGGAGGGGAAUUCGGGUUUGCAGCUGUCGGGGAUUAGAGUGAGGCACCGGUUCCACUCACACCCCAGGCUGAUUACAUCCCUGUUGGGACGAAGGCCUGACAACCGAAAGGAGCCUAAGACAUAUUUACAAGGGCGUUGAUUGUCUUCAAAGACUUGAUUGUUAUUUCCUAUAACAACAUCGAUGGCAGAAAUCUGAAAUGGGCAGUAGAGUGGAACAUAACAGUCAUUAGUUUUUUGUGACUGAAUAUAUAUUUCGCGAUCAUUAGACUUCUAGACCCAUGUAGCUUUUUAUCUCCAGUUGCUAAGAGCCUAAGACACAAAGAAAGAAAUGUACUGUGCAAUGACAUAUAAAGAAAUCAUUUGG